UGCCCUGGCAGUCAGAGGCGAUGAAGGACGUGCUAAUCUGCGAUAAGCGUCGGUGAGGUGAUAUGAACCGUUAUAACCGGCGAUUUCCGAAUGGGGAAACCCAGUGUGUUUCGACACACUAUCAUUAACUGAAUCCAUAGGUUAAUGAGGCGAACCGGGGGAACUGAAACAUCUAAGUACCCCGAGGAAAAGAAAUCAACCGAGAUUCCCCCAGUAGCGGCGAGCGAACGGGGAGGAGCCCAGAGCCUGAAUCAGUGUGUGUGUUAGUGGAAGCGUCUGGAAAGGCGUGCGAUACAGGGUGACAGCCCCGUACACAAAAAUGCACAUAUUGUGAGCUCGAUGAGUAGGGCGGGACACGUGGUAUCCUGUCUGAAUAUGGGGGGACCAUCCUCCAAGGCUAAAUACUCCUGACUGACCGAUAGUGAACCAGUACCGUGAGGGAAAGGCGAAAAGAACCCCGGCGAGGGGAGUGAAAAAGAACCUGAAACCGUGUACGUACAAGCAGUGGGAGCCUCUUAAUGGGGUGACUGCGUACCUUUUGUAUAAUGGGUCAGCGACUUAUAUUCUGUAGCAAGGUUAACCGAAUAGGGGAGCCGAAGGGAAACCGAGUCUUAACUGGGCGUUAAGUUGCAGGGUAUAGACCCGAAACCCGGUGAUCUAGCCAUGGGCAGGUUGAAGGUUGGGUAACACUAACUGGAGGACCGAACCGACUAAUGUUGAAAAAUUAGCGGAUGACUUGUGGCUGGGGGUGAAAGGCCAAUCAAACCGGGAGAUAGCUGGUUCUCCCCGAAAGCUAUUUAGGUAGCGCCUCGUGAAUUCAUCUCCGGGGGUAGAGCACUGUUUCGGCAAGGGGGUCAUCCCGACUUACCAACCCGAUGCAAACUGCGAAUACCGGAGAAUGUUAUCACGGGAGACACACGGCGGGUGCUAACGUCCGUCGUGAAGAGGGAAACAACCCAGACCGCCAGCUAAGGUCCCAAAGUCAUGGUUAAGUGGGAAACGAUGUGGGAAGGCCCAGACAGCCAGGAUGUUGGCUUAGAAGCAGCCAUCAUUUAAAGAAAGCGUAAUAGCUCACUGGUCGAGUCGGCCUGCGCGGAAGAUGUAACGGGGCUAAACCAUGCACCGAAGCUGCGGCAGCGACACUAUGUGUUGUUGGGUAGGGGAGCGUUCUGUAAGCCUGUGAAGGUGGCCUGUGAGGGUUGCUGGAGGUAUCAGAAGUGCGAAUGCUGACAUAAGUAACGAUAAAGCGGGUGAAAAGCCCGCUCGCCGGAAGACCAAGGGUUCCUGUCCAACGUUAAUCGGGGCAGGGUGAGUCGACCCCUAAGGCGAGGCCGAAAGGCGUAGUCGAUGGGAAACAGGUUAAUAUUCCUGUACUUGGUGUUACUGCGAAGGGGGGACGGAGAAGGCUAUGUUGGCCGGGCGACGGUUGUCCCGGUUUAAGCGUGUAGGCUGGUUUUCCAGGCAAAUCCGGAAAACCAAGGCUGAGGCGUGAUGACGAGGCACUACGGUGCUGAAGCGACAAAUGCCCUGCUUCCAGGAAAAGCCUCUAAGCAUCAGGUAACAUCAAAUCGUACCCCAAACCGACACAGGUGGUCAGGUAGAGAAUACCAAGGCGCUUGAGAGAACUCGGGUGAAGGAACUAGGCAAAAUGGUGCCGUAACUUCGGGAGAAGGCACGCUGAUAUGUAGGUGAAGCGACUUGCUCGUGGAGCUGAAAUCAGUCGAAGAUACCAGCUGGCUGCAACUGUUUAUUAAAAACACAGCACUGUGCAAACACGAAAGUGGACGUAUACGGUGUGACGCCUGCCCGGUGCCGGAAGGUUAAUUGAUGGGGUUAGCGGUAACGCGAAGCUCUUGAUCGAAGCCCCGGUAAACGGCGGCCGUAACUAUAACGGUCCUAAGGUAGCGAAAUUCCUUGUCGGGUAAGUUCCGACCUGCACGAAUGGCGUAAUGAUGGCCAGGCUGUCUCCACCCGAGACUCAGUGAAAUUGAACUCGCUGUGAAGAUGCAGUGUACCCGCGGCAAGACGGAAAGACCCCGUGAACCUUUACUAUAGCUUGACACUGAACAUUGAGCCUUGAUGUGUAGGAUAGGUGGGAGGCUUUGAAGUGUGGACGCCAGUCUGCAUGGAGCCGACCUUGAAAUACCACCCUUUAAUGUUUGAUGUUCUAACGUUGGCCCGUAAUCCGGGUUGCGGACAGUGUCUGGUGGGUAGUUUGACUGGGGCGGUCUCCUCCUAAAGAGUAACGGAGGAGCACGAAGGUUGGCUAAUCCUGGUCGGACAUCAGGAGGUUAGUGCAAUGGCAUAAGCCAGCUUGACUGCGAGCGUGACGGCGCGAGCAGGUGCGAAAGCAGGUCAUAGUGAUCCGGUGGUUCUGAAUGGAAGGGCCAUCGCUCAACGGAUAAAAGGUACUCCGGGGAUAACAGGCUGAUACCGCCCAAGAGUUCAUAUCGACGGCGGUGUUUGGCACCUCGAUGUCGGCUCAUCACAUCCUGGGGCUGAAGUAGGUCCCAAGGGUAUGGCUGUUCGCCAUUUAAAGUGGUACGCGAGCUGGGUUUAGAACGUCGUGAGACAGUUCGGUCCCUAUCUGCCGUGGGCGCUGGAGAACUGAGGGGGGCUGCUCCUAGUACGAGAGGACCGGAGUGGACGCAUCACUGGUGUUCGGGUUGUCAUGCCAAUGGCACUGCCCGGUAGCUAAAUGCGGAAGAGAUAAGUGCUGAAAGCAUCUAAGCACGAAACUUGCCCCGAGAUGAGUUCUCCCUGACUCCUUGAGGGUCCUGAAGGAACGUUGAAG
RNAcentral lists this ribosomal RNA (2794 nucleotides) under Escherichia coli. RNAcentral's name for it is "partial 23S ribosomal RNA". It matches the Rfam family "Bacterial large subunit ribosomal RNA". Lineage: Bacteria; Pseudomonadati; Pseudomonadota; Gammaproteobacteria; Enterobacterales; Enterobacteriaceae. The record is from RNAcentral.